GAUGAACGCUAGCGGGAGGCUUAAUACAUGCAAGUCGAGGGGUAGAUAGUCUUCGGAUUAUCGAGACCGGCGCACGGGUGAAUAACGCGUACACAACAUGCCUUAUACUGGGGUAUAGCUUCGGGAAACUGAUGGUAAUCCCCCAUAACAUUUCGGAAUCGCAUGGUUCUGUAAUUAAAGUUACGGCGGUAUAAGAUUGGUGUGCGUUUGAUUAGGUAGUUGGUAGGGUAGUGGCCUACCAAGCCGACGAUCAAUAGCUGGCGUGAGAGCGCGACCAGCCACACUGGAACUGAGACACGGUCCAGACUCCUACGGGAGGCAGCAGUAGGGAAUAUUGGACAAUGGGCGAAAGCCUGAUCCAGCCAUCCCGCGUGGUAGAUGAAGGCCCUCUGGUUGUAAAUACCUUUGCAAGGGAAGAAACUCUCCGAUUCAUCGGAGCCUGACGGUACCUUGCGAAUAAGCAACCGGCUAACUCCGUGCCAGCAGCC
This 488-nucleotide ribosomal RNA is filed under the name uncultured bacterium. Its description in RNAcentral is "bacterial SSU rRNA". It matches the Rfam family "Bacterial small subunit ribosomal RNA", at positions 28 to 516 of the family's 1533-position model. The record is from RNAcentral.